AAUGUACUCCCUCCGUUCCAUAUUAAGUGACUCAAAUCUACCAAAAUAUGUAUGUAUCUAUACCUAAAAAAAGUCUAGAUACAUAUAAUAUUUCGUCACUUAACAUGGGACGGAGGGAGUAUGUG
Non-coding RNA from Brachypodium distachyon (stiff brome), 125 nucleotides. NCBI's taxonomy places the organism in Eukaryota, Viridiplantae, Streptophyta, Magnoliopsida, Poales, Poaceae. The record is from Rfam.